GAGAAGUGGCCGAGCCAAUAUGAGGCUUCUAACCACAUAAAGAGAGGUUUGACUCCUUUCACUUCUCU
This 68-nucleotide transfer RNA is filed under the name Sinosolenaia iridinea. Its description in RNAcentral is "tRNA-Ser". Lineage: Eukaryota; Metazoa; Mollusca; Bivalvia; Unionida; Unionidae. The record is from RNAcentral. RNAcentral also lists the same sequence under 1 other name.